AGGAGCCGUAUGCGGUAGUUCCGCACGUACGGAUCUGUGCGGGGGGGGGAGGGGGGACAGGUAACUGCCAUCCCUACCGCGAC
Molecule: non-coding RNA, 83 nt
Filed under: Pseudomonas sp. LAMO17WK12:I9
Lineage: Bacteria; Pseudomonadati; Pseudomonadota; Gammaproteobacteria; Pseudomonadales; Pseudomonadaceae
Also listed under: 1 other name
Source: RNAcentral